RNAcentral lists this ribosomal RNA (953 nucleotides) under Goerita semata. Its description in RNAcentral is "SSU rRNA". It matches the Rfam family "Eukaryotic small subunit ribosomal RNA", at positions 56 to 955 of the family's 1831-position model. The record is from RNAcentral. Lineage: Eukaryota; Metazoa; Arthropoda; Insecta; Trichoptera; Goeridae.
AGUCUCAGUAAAAGCCGAAUUAAGGUGAAACCGCGAAUGGCUCAAUAUAUCAGUUUUGGUUCCUUAGAUCGUACACAGUUACUUGGAUAACUGUGGCAAUUCUAGAGCUAAUACAUGCAAACGAGGUCCUGACCGGUAACGGGAGGGAUGCUUUUAUUAGAUCAAAAACCAAUCGGCGGCGGGGCUCGCGCCCCGUCCGUCGCCAUUCGAGAUGACUCUAGAUAACUUUGAGCUGAUCGCACGGUCUAGCACCGGCGACGCAUCUUUCAAAUGUCUGCCUUAUCAACUGUCGAUGGUAGUUUAUGCGACUACCAUGGUUGUCACGGGUAACGGGGAAUCAGGGUUCGAUUCCGGAGAGGGAGCCUGAGAAACGGCUACCACAUCCACGGAAGGCAGCAGGCGCGCAAAUUACCCACUCCCGGCACGGGGAGGUAGUGACGAAAAAUAACGAUACGGGACUCGUCCGAGGCCUCGUGAUCGGAAUGAUUACACUUUAAAUCCUUUAACGAGGAUCCAUUGGAGGGCAAGUCUGGUGCCAGCAGCCGCGGUAAUUCCAGCUCCAAUAGCAUAUACUAAAGUUGUUGCGGUUAAAAAGCUCGUAGUUGAAAUUGUGUCCUGCGGUGUCGGUCUACCGAAUGCGGUACGACAGGCACGUCUGCGGGGCUUCUCGCCGGUGCGUCCACCGCCGGCGUGCGUCGGUCGGCCUCGCGGCCGGCCGUCCACCGAGGCGGGCCGUCGCGGCUGUUUACUUUGAACAAAUUAGAGUGCUCAAAGCGGGCUAACACUUGCCUGAAUAUUGUACGCAUGGAAUAAUAGAAUAGGACCUCGGUUCUGUUUUGUUGGCUUUCUGAUACCAGAGGUAAUGAUUAAUAGGGACAACUGGGGGCAUUCGUAUUGCGACGUUAGAGGUGAAAUUCUUGGAUCGUCGCAAGACGGACUAAAGCGAAAGCAUU